RNAcentral lists this ribosomal RNA (465 nucleotides) under uncultured bacterium. RNAcentral's name for it is "partial 16S ribosomal RNA". It matches the Rfam family "Bacterial small subunit ribosomal RNA", at positions 28 to 507 of the family's 1533-position model. The record is from RNAcentral.
GACGAACGCUGGCGGCGUGCCUAACACAUGCAAGUCGAACGGAAAAGCCCCUUCGGGGGUACUCGAGUGGCGAACGGGUGAGUAACACGUGUGUAACCUGCCCUUGACUUCGGGAUAACCUCAGGAAACUGGGGCCAAUACCGGCUAGGAAUCCUUGCUGCAUGGUGGGGGUUGGUAAGAUUCGGCGGUGUUGGAUGGGCUGGCGGCUUAUAAGCUUGUUGGUGGGGUAGUGGCUUACCAAGGCUUUGACGGGUAGCCGGCCUGAGAGGGCGACCGGCCACAUAGAGACUGAGGGGCGGCCCAGGUUCGUAAGAGUGGAAGCUGGGGGAAAUAUUGCACAAUGGGCGGAGGCCGGAUGCAGCAGCGCCGCGGACGGUAUGACGGCUUUAGUGGGGAGAACCGCUUGCAAGAGGAGCGAAGCUUGUUGUGACGUUACCAGCAGAAGAAGCACCGGCUAACUACGUG